GGGCAUUGGAGACACAGCAUAGUGCAAAUUUGAAGAAGCACCCAUAAAGGUGCCCCGGCU
This 60-nucleotide transfer RNA is filed under the name Lygodactylus stevensoni (Stevenson's dwarf gecko). RNAcentral's name for it is "tRNA-Cys". The record is from RNAcentral. Lineage: Eukaryota; Metazoa; Chordata; Lepidosauria; Squamata; Gekkonidae.